GACGAACGCUGGCGGCGUGCUUAACACAUGCAAGUCGAACGGAAAGGCCCUGCUUUUGUGGCGUGCUCGAUUGGCGAACGCGUGAGUAACACGUGAGUAACAUCCCCUUGACUUUGUGAUAUCUUCAGGAAACUGGGUCUCAUACCGCAUAGAAUCUCCUGCACCAUGUUGGGCGUUGGAAAGUUUCGGCGGUUGGGGAUGGACUCGCGGCUUAUCAGCUUGUUUGUGGGGUAGUGACUUACCAAGGCUUUGACGGGUAGCCGGCCUGAGAGGGUUACCGGCCACAUUGGGACUGAGAGACGGCCCAGACUCCUACGGGAGGCAGCAGUGGGGAGUAUUGCACAAUGGGCGGAAGCCUGAUGCAGCAGCGCCGCGUGCGGGAUGACGGCCUUCGGGUUGUAAACCGCUGUGGCCGGUGACGAAGCGUGAGUGACGGUAAUGGGUAAAGAAGCACCGGCUAACUACGUG
This 468-nucleotide ribosomal RNA is filed under the name uncultured bacterium. RNAcentral describes it as "partial 16S ribosomal RNA". It matches the Rfam family "Bacterial small subunit ribosomal RNA", at positions 28 to 507 of the family's 1533-position model. The record is from RNAcentral.